This 796-nucleotide ribosomal RNA is filed under the name Acanthamoeba polyphaga. Its description in RNAcentral is "SSU rRNA". It matches the Rfam family "Eukaryotic small subunit ribosomal RNA", at positions 628 to 1189 of the family's 1831-position model. Lineage: Eukaryota; Discosea; Longamoebia; Acanthamoebidae. The record is from RNAcentral.
UCGUAGUUGGAUCUAGGGACGCGCAUUUCAAGCGCCCGUGCCAUCGGGUCAAACCGGUGGCUGCGUUGGCGUUGCGGGCUCGGUCCGUCGGUGCCCCACAAAGGGCUAUCGGCGUGUCAACCGGCCCGCCCGUCCCCUCCUUCUGGAUUCCCGUUCCUGCUAUUGAGUUAGUGGGGACGUCACAGGGGGUCCAUCGUCGUGCGGCGUCAAAACCGUGCGGCGGUGGGUCCCUGGGGCCCAGAUCGUUUACCGUGAAAAAAUUAGAGUGUUCAAAGCAGGCAGAUCCAAUUUUCUGCCACCGAAUACAUUAGCAUGGGAUAAUGGAAUAGGACCCUGUCCUCCUAUUUUCAGUUGGUUUUGGCAGCGCGAGGACUAGGGUAAUGAUUAAUAGGGAUAGUUGGGGGCAUUAAUAUUUAAUUGUCAGAGGUGAAAUUCUUGGAUUUAUGAAAGAUUAACUUCUGCGAAAGCAUCUGCCAAGGAUGUUUUCAUUAAUCAAGAACGAAAGUUAGGGGAUCGAAGACGAUCAGAUACCGUCGUAGUCUUAACCAUAAACGAUGCCGACCAGCGAUUAGGAGACGUUGAAUACAAAACACCACCAUCGGUGCGGUCGUCCUUGGCGUCUCGGUCCUUCACGGGGCCGGGGCGCGGGGGUGGCUUAGCCCGGUGGCACCGGUGAAUGACUCCCCUAGCAGCUUGUGAGAAAUCAUAAGUCUUUGGGUUCCGGGGGGAGUAUGGUCGCAAGGCUGAAACUUAAAGGAAUUGACGGAAGGGCACCACCAGGAGUGGAGCCUGCGGC